Molecule: ribosomal RNA, 459 nt
Filed under: uncultured Acidobacteriaceae bacterium
Lineage: Bacteria; Pseudomonadati; Acidobacteriota; Terriglobia; Terriglobales; Acidobacteriaceae
Description: bacterial SSU rRNA
Rfam family: Bacterial small subunit ribosomal RNA
Source: RNAcentral
AUUGAACGCUGGCGGCAUGCCUAACACAUGCAAGUCGAACGAGAAAGGGGAGCAAUCCCUGAGUACAGUGGCGCACGGGUGAGUAACACGUGACUAAUCUACCCUCGAGCGGGGAAUAACCAAGGGAAACCUUGGCUAAUACCGCAUAAUACCUACGGGUCAAAGGAGCAAUCCACUUGAGGAGGAGGUCGCGGCCGAUUAGCUAGUUGGCGGGGUAAUGGCCCACCAAGGCAUUGAUCGGUAUCCGGCCUGAGAGGGCGCACGGACACACUGGAACUGAAACACGGUCCAGACUCCUACGGGAGGCAGCAGUGGGGAAUUUUGCGCAAUGGGGGAAACCCUGACGCAGCAACGCCGCGUGGAGGAUGAAGUCCCUUGGGACGUAAACUCCUUUCGAUCGGGACGAUAAUGACGGUACCGGAAGAAGAAGCCCCGGCUAACUUCGGAGUGUAGCGUUUG